UCUUAGUGGCGGACGGGUGAGUAACGCGUGGGUAACCUGCCUUAUACAGGGGGAUAACACUUAGAAAUAGGUGCUAAUACCGCAUAAGCGCACGGGGCUGCAUGGCCCAGUGUGAAAAACUCCGGUGGUAUAAGAUGGACCCGCGUCUGAUUAGCUUGUUGGCGGGGUAACGCCCACCAAGGCGACGAUCAGUAGCCGGCCUGAGAGGGUGGACGGCCACAUUGGGACUGAGACACGGCCCAAACUCCUACGGGAGGCAGCAG
This 263-nucleotide ribosomal RNA is filed under the name uncultured bacterium. RNAcentral describes it as "partial 16S ribosomal RNA". It matches the Rfam family "Bacterial small subunit ribosomal RNA", at positions 90 to 354 of the family's 1533-position model. The record is from RNAcentral.